GAUGAGCGCUGGCGGCGUGCUUAACACAUGCAAGUCGAACGGAAAGGCCCAAGCUUGCUUGGGUACUCGAGUGGCGAACGGGUGAGUAACACGUGGGUGAUCUGCCCUGCACUUCGGGAUAAGCCUGGGAAACUGGGUCUAAUACCGGAUAGGACCACAUUUUGGAUGGUGUGGUGGAAAGUUUUUCGGUGUGGGAUGAGCUCGCGGCCUAUCAGCUUGUUGGUGGGGUAAUGGCCUACCAAGGCGUCGACGGGUAGCCGGCCUGAGAGGGUGUACGGCCACAUUGGGACUGAGAUACGGCCCAGACUCCUACGGGAGGCAGCAGGGGGGAAUAUUGCACAAUGGGCGCAAGCCUGAUGCAGCGACGCCGCGUGGGGGAUGACGGCCUUCGGGGUGUAAACUCCUUUCGCUAGGGACGAAGCGCAAGUGACGGUACCUGGAGAAGAAGCACCGGCUAACUACGUG
RNAcentral lists this ribosomal RNA (465 nucleotides) under uncultured bacterium. Its description in RNAcentral is "partial 16S ribosomal RNA". It matches the Rfam family "Bacterial small subunit ribosomal RNA", at positions 28 to 507 of the family's 1533-position model. The record is from RNAcentral.